GGCAAAAAUUCUUGUCCCUGUGGACCUCAUUUUUUUUUUUUUUUUUUUUUUUUAAGAUAGGGUCUCACUGUGUGGCUCAAGCUGGAGUGCAGUGGUACGAUCUCAUCUCACUGCAGCCAUUGCCUCCAGGGCUCAAGUGAUCCUCCCACCUCAGCCUGUUGAGUAGCUGGGACCACAGGCACGUGCCACCAUGCCCAGCUAAUUUUUGUAUUUUUGUUAGAGAUGGGGUUUCACCAUGUUGCCCAGGCUGUUCUCUAACUCCUGGGUUCAAGUGAUCUGCCUGCCUCGGCUUCCCAAAGUGUUGGGAUUACAGGUGUGAGCCAUCGCACCUGGCUAGACCUCAUGUUCUAAUGACAGGAAGGGUCAAUACAUGUAUAGAUGUAUAAGUUAGAAAGUACAGUAGAAGGUGAUAAGUGUUCUCUAGAAAAAUAAAGGAAGAAAGGAGGUCGUACAGUAUCAGGGUGGAGACAGGGGUUGCAGUUGUACAUAGGGUGUUUUUGGGAAGUCCUCCCUGUGAAGGUGACAUUUGAUCAACAACCUGAAGGGAAAGAACAAGAGAACCAUACUUCACUCCUGCAGGAAGAGUGUGUAAGACUGAGGGAACGGCACGUGCAAAGGUCCUGAGGCAGGAGUGUGCUGAAGGGUUUGGGGCAUCCCAAGGAGGCCAGGGUGGCUGGAGUGGAGGGAAUGAGCAAGGAAGGAGGAGGCGGAAAGAGGGUCAGGGAGGUGACAGGGCAGAUUGUGCAGGGCUUGGUGGGCCACUUUGCCUAUAACUCUGGGUGAGAAUUGGUGCCACUGGAAGGUUCCUAGCAGAGGAGUGGCGUGAUCCUUCUGGCAGCUGCAUUGAGGAGAGUUUGCAGGGUGUCAGGGUGGAAGUGGGAGACCAGUUGGGAUGCCAUGGCCGUAAACCAGGUGAGAACUGGCAGAGCUUGGACCGUGAUGGUAGGAAUGGGCAGUGUGAUACAUGGCUUGAUAAACUGCCUAGACCCUCACAUAAAUGGUAAAUGUAUUUUUCAUCUCACUUACGUCUCCUUUAAUUACAGAAGUAGAAAAUGGUUACUGUAGAAAAUUGGCUAGCUAGAACAAAUCCCAAAAGAAAAUAACAGCCUCUCCUAAGUGGACCACCCAAUGUUAGAGUUAUCGAAGCAAUUAUAUUUUAAUCAUUUUCUUUUAAUAAUUACAUUUGAAAGUACUGUGUUAAAAUCGCUUAAACUGGCAGAAGCGGACUUUUAGGUCAUAUGCACAGUGGGGUGCAGACUCUGCAUUUUAAGAUUCAGUGGAGUGUUUGACUGUUCUGCUGUACACUGGAGGGGAAAGAGAAGGGUAAGAAGAUGAAGCCUUUACUUUGCUUCUCGUAGCUUGCAGAGAAGGAUGGGGGCAGGUGAGCAGAGACAGCUAUUCCCAGAUUACAGCCAAAUACAUAUUUUGAAAAUGAUGAAUGGAAUUUCAGGGAAUGGGGCCCUGUAAGUUCCCUGAGGUCAGGUACCGUGUCUUAUUCUUUACUGUUUUCCUAACAUGUGAUUUAGUGCCUGGCACAUAGUAGGUGCCCAGCAAAAAUAUUUGUUGAGUACAUAUGUGAAUUAAUAAGUAGGUAAUGCAUGGAAUGAAACAUGUCUUUUUGGAAAGAUCAGGAAGGACUACCUGUCAUGUG
RNAcentral lists this long non-coding RNA (1651 nucleotides) under Homo sapiens (human). RNAcentral describes it as "non-protein coding lnc-NPIPA8-5:1". Lineage: Eukaryota; Metazoa; Chordata; Mammalia; Primates; Hominidae. The record is from RNAcentral.